CAGUAGCCGCGGUAAUACAGAGGGUGCGAGCGUUAAUCGGAUUUACUGGGCGUAAAGCGUGCGUAGGCGGCUUCUUAAGUCGGAUGUGAAAUCCCUGAGCUUAACUUAGGAAUUGCAUUCGAUACUGGGAAGCUAGAGUAUGGGAGAGGAUGGUAGAAUUCCUGGUGUAGCGGUGAAAUGCGUAGAGAUCUGGAGGAAUACCGAUGGCGAAGGCAGCCAUCUGGCCUAAUACUGAUGCUGAGGUACGAAAGCAUGGGGAGCAAACAGGAUUAGAGACCCGCGUAGUCCCUGUCUCUUAUAA
Molecule: ribosomal RNA, 301 nt
Filed under: uncultured bacterium
Lineage: Bacteria
Description: partial 16S ribosomal RNA
Rfam family: Bacterial small subunit ribosomal RNA
Source: RNAcentral